This 64-nucleotide small RNA is filed under the name Sinorhizobium meliloti 2011. Its description in RNAcentral is "putative ncRNA". Lineage: Bacteria; Pseudomonadati; Pseudomonadota; Alphaproteobacteria; Hyphomicrobiales; Rhizobiaceae. The record is from RNAcentral.
GGUUUCACGAUCGAUGAAAUGCAUGAUCGCCCGGCUGUCGUAGAUUGCCAGGCCGUCCGCGGUU